Molecule: non-coding RNA, 420 nt
Organism: Pseudopodoces humilis (Tibetan ground-tit)
Lineage: Eukaryota; Metazoa; Chordata; Aves; Passeriformes; Paridae
Source: RefSeq, a predicted model, not a curated record
GGCUGCUGUCCGCCUGUGCUGCCCAUGGAACACAGCCUGGCCGCCCGCAGGCAUCUCGACAAAAAGCUCUGGCUGGACAAUAUUCCCAACCCUUAUUUGGACUCAGCUUUGGGGAAGAGCUGCAAUUCCCCAGCAGCGCUGGAACCCCGGUUGGAAUCACACACCGGAAAAAGGGGAGGAAUUUUUGCUGCAUCCAUGUCCAUCUGUGCUGGGACACAACGCUGGACUGUGUCAUAGAGGGACAGAAAGGGAAGUCGUGAACAAGUGGUGACUCUGGAGGGACGGCUGGGAAGAGUGGCUAUUCCCGAGGCUCCAGCGGAACGAGCGGACAAGCACGAACGACAGAGUUAACGCGUGGGAGACGACAGACUCAAAGCAGGUCUGAGAUUAGCGGUGGAAGAUGAAUAAAUUACACAAACA